This 99-nucleotide signal recognition particle RNA is filed under the name Ignavibacteriota bacterium. Its description in RNAcentral is "Ignavibacteriae bacterium (activated sludge metagenome) signal recognition particle sRNA small type". It matches the Rfam family "Bacterial small signal recognition particle RNA". Rfam says of the family: The signal recognition particle (SRP) is a universally conserved ribonucleoprotein involved in the co-translational targeting of proteins to membranes. Archaeal SRP consists of a 7S RNA and homologues of the eukaryotic SRP19 and SRP54 proteins. In most bacteria, the SRP consists of a 4.5S RNA and the Ffh protein (a homologue of the eukaryotic SRP54 protein). Lineage: Bacteria; Pseudomonadati; Ignavibacteriota. The record is from RNAcentral. RNAcentral also lists the same sequence under 1 other name.
UGUCAAGCCCCGAACAAUAUGGUGUUACCCAACCCCGUCAGGUUCGGAAGAAAGCAGCGGCAAGUAAUUGCUAUAUGUGAUUCGGGUGUCUUGGCAUUA